UUCUCCAUGGGGGCUGCCGAAUGUGUCAGGGAGCCAUAGCUGGGGUUUGUUCAAGCUUCCAAGCUCAUAGUCAGUGCAUCUUAGCCCCGUUUUUAAUAUUCUUCGCAUUUUUGAAAUUCUCGUAGCUCGGUUUAGCUUAUUCUACCAUUAAUUCACGGUAGGGUGCAUAUUUGGAAAAAUACCCAGAGGUGAAAUGUGUUUAUUUUGCUGUUUUAUGGUAGAAUAUGAAGCUAGAAUUUAUGAUAAACAACUUUUACUAAGUGAUUUUAAGUAAAACCGGGUAAAUUGACAUAAUCGGUAAAAAUAUUUAUUGUUCAUAAGUGUAUGUUAGAGUGAGAAUUUGAUGUUUCUAUAGAAGGGAAAAGUGUUCAGCAUGUUGUAAAACAUAAGAAUAAGGUGUGAAAUUAAAUUUUCGAGCCUAGGGACGUAAAUGGAAAUAUACAAAAGUUUAGGGGCAAAAUUGUAAUUUUGCCAAAGUUUGAGUCAAGGACUGUUUUGAUAAAUGUGAGUACUCAAUAAGUCAAUUGUGUUAUUAUAGAUCAAGAAAGAAGUGGAAUCGACCUUGACCGGAGAAAAGAAAAGAUUAAAGACUAAAUUGCUAAAAUUUUAUAUUGUUGCAUCCAAGUAAGUUAUGUAUAAAUAAUAGAUAUUUUUAUAAAUUGUGAAUUAUGUUUGACAUGUGAAUUAAAUUUGAAUUGAGAUGAUGUAUUAUUUUAUAUAUAAAUUUGUUAUCUAAUCAUGCCUUUAUGCAAGUACGAGAUUAGAUUGAAGGAUCAAUCGUGAGAAAUGCAGGGUCAAGUACAUUCGUACUACAACUCGUAAUGAAUUGACAGAAAAGACCAUGGUUGGACCAUGGCAGUGAGUGUGCCAGUGUAAGACCAUGUCUGGGACAUGGCAUCGGCUCAAUAUGAGAGUUAGUGUAAGACCAUGUCUGGGACAUGGCAUCGGCUCGAUAUGAGAGUCAAUGUAAGACCAUGUCUGGGACAUGGCAUCGCUCGAGAUGAGAGUCAGUGUAAGACCAUGUCUGGGACAUGGCAUCGGCUCAAUAUGAGAGUCAGUGUAAGACCAUGUCUGGGACAUGGCAUCGGCUCGAUAUGAGAGUCAGUGUAAGACCAUGUCUGGGACAUGGCAUCGGCUCGAGAUUAGUUUUGAGUGCCAGUGUAAGACCAUGUCUGGGACAUGGCAUCGGCACCGAUAUGUGAUCCCAUGUAAGACCAUAUCUAGGAUAUGGCAUUGGCCUCCUACCAGGUGUACAAGAUAUCCCGAACACCCCUAAUAUUACAAGUAGUUCAACGGGAAAUUCAAGGAGUAUGCUCAAGAUAAGUAAGAGUAGGAUAUGUGAGUAUUAUGACUAGGCACAGGUAUGUAUAUGAGACUCAUAAAUAAUGUGCUCAGAUUAUGAUGCAUUAUUGAUAAGGAUGCAAACGAGUAAGGUGUGUCUAUGAUCGCUUGAUUGUUAUGUGCCAAGACAUGAUAUGCUUUGGUGUAAGUGUAUAUAAAUGAAAGUGA
Molecule: long non-coding RNA, 1509 nt
Filed under: Gossypium raimondii (Peruvian cotton)
Lineage: Eukaryota; Viridiplantae; Streptophyta; Magnoliopsida; Malvales; Malvaceae
Description: long non-coding RNA (GRAI_LNC007092)
Source: RNAcentral